Molecule: long non-coding RNA, 574 nt
Filed under: Serinus canaria (Common canary)
Lineage: Eukaryota; Metazoa; Chordata; Aves; Passeriformes; Fringillidae
Description: lncRNA (ENSSCAG00000013102.1)
Source: RNAcentral
GAGGGAUUCACCCCCACUGUAUCCAGAGGGUUCAUCCCCCCAGAGGGGUUCACCCCCACUGCAUCCAGAGGGGUUCAUCCCCCCUGCAUCCAGAGGGGUUCCCCCCACCUUCCCUCAGCUGCGGUUAUUCGGGCUCGUCUCGGGUGGCCAGAGCUCAGGAGCUGUUUCAGGGAUUAAGAGAAAGAUGUUCAGUCCAGGUCAGAGCUGGUUUGUCAGGAAAGCACCUAGGAAGGCUUUUUGUUCGAGUGAGGCGGAUUUUGGGAUCUGAUAGGUGCAGCUUCCCCCUUGGCAGGAGCCCAUCUAGCCAUUGGCGGAUCUCUUGGCUUUUUGCCUUGACUGGGAAACGCCUGCAGCCCCCCCGACCUCAAGUGCAGCAGAGGGGUGGGGCUGGAGAAGGUGCCAGGACAAGCCCCCCACUCCAGUGGGUUUUGGGGAGGCUGUGUAUGUAUCUAUGCUUGCAAAGCUUCUGUAUUACCGCCUGUACUUUCUUCCAGAGUCAAAAUACAGCUGAACCCUUCCCAUGCUGUGUGCUGUCAUCAUUGCUCUCCAGGGGGAUUUGGGGGUGCUGGGCUGC